RNAcentral lists this ribosomal RNA (510 nucleotides) under uncultured bacterium. RNAcentral's name for it is "partial 16S ribosomal RNA". It matches the Rfam family "Bacterial small subunit ribosomal RNA", at positions 28 to 507 of the family's 1533-position model. The record is from RNAcentral.
GACGAACGCUGGCGGCGUGCUUAACACAUGCAAGUCGAACGAAGAGCGACGGAAGCUUGCUUCUAUCAAUCUUAGUGGCGAACGGGUGAGUAACGCGUAAUCAACCUGCCCUUCAGAGGGGGACAACAGUUGGAAACGACUGCUAAUACCGCAUACGAUCUAACCUCGGCAUCGAGGAUAGAUGAAAGGUGGCCUCUACAUGUAAGCUAUCACUGAAGGAGGGGAUUGCGUCUGAUUAGCUAGUUGGAGGGGUAACGGCCCACCAAGGCGAGGAUCAGUAGCCGGUCGGAGAGGAUGAACGGCCACAUUGGGACUGAGACACGGCCCAGACUCCUACGGGAGGCAGCAGUGGGGAAUCUUCCGCAAUGGACGAAAGUCUGACGGAGCAACGCCGCGUGAGUGAUGACGGCCGUCGGGUUGUAAAGCUCUGUUAAUCGGGACGAAAGGCCUUCUUGCGAAUAGUGAGAAGGAUUGACGGUACCGGAAUAGAAAGCCACGGCUAACUACGUG